GAGUGGUGAUUGACGUGUUUGGGUACAUUGGAUCCCUGCUUGGGCAGCGACAACGGACCUUGCUCGUCUCUUCAGUUGUUGGCAUAGGCACAUUGAGCCUUGGCCGAAUGAUGUUUUCCUGUGUUGUAUACCCCCAUUACAAGGGCAUUGAAUUUGCUCAAUUGCAUAUGUUUGCUUCUUGUUGCGUCCUUUUGGAUUUAGGCAUGAAGUGAACGCUGAAGCAUUGAUUGUGUUCCACUUUCCUUGCAGCCAUGCAUGGGUUGUUGGGCCAUGAUCCCUGCUCGAUCUCUUGGUUCCAGAAUACCUUGUGGCAUGAGGCAAUAGUCUCUAUUCGCCCCUUAUUGAGCAUUUAACGCUACGUGCAAAUGACAGUUGUGGUCGUUUUGAUUAGGUCUUUAUGGCUUGAUUCAUACGGUCCCAACGUCGGUGAGGAAUGCUACCUGGUUGAUCCUGCCAGUAGUCAUAUGCUUGUCUCAAAGAUUAA
Molecule: unclassified non-coding RNA, 484 nt
Filed under: Chrysothemis friedrichsthaliana
Lineage: Eukaryota; Viridiplantae; Streptophyta; Magnoliopsida; Lamiales; Gesneriaceae
Description: partial contains external transcribed spacer and 18S ribosomal RNA
Rfam family: Eukaryotic small subunit ribosomal RNA (bases 438-484)
Source: RNAcentral